This 384-nucleotide ribosomal RNA is filed under the name uncultured bacterium. RNAcentral's name for it is "bacterial SSU rRNA". It matches the Rfam family "Bacterial small subunit ribosomal RNA", at positions 30 to 416 of the family's 1533-position model. The record is from RNAcentral.
AUUGAACGCUGGCGGCAUGCUUUACACAUGCAAGUCGAACGGUAACAGGCCUUCGGGUGCUGACGAGUGGCGAACGGGUGAGUAAUGCAUCGGAACGUGCCCAAUCGUGGGGGAUAACGUAGCGAAAGUUACGCUAAUACCGCAUACGCCCUGAGGGGGAAAGUGGGGACCUUCGGGCCUACCGCGAUUGGAUGCACCCAUGUGGGAUUAGCUAGUUGGUGAGGUAACGGCUCACCAAGGCGACGAUCUCUAGCUGGUCUGAGAGGAUGACCAGCCACACUGGAACUGAGACACGGUCCAGACUCCUACGGGAGGCAGCAGUGGGGAAUAUUGCACAAUGGGGGGAAACCCUGAUGCAGCCAUGCCGCGUGUGUGAAGAAGGCC